Molecule: long non-coding RNA, 228 nt
Filed under: Mytilus galloprovincialis (Mediterranean mussel)
Lineage: Eukaryota; Metazoa; Mollusca; Bivalvia; Mytilida; Mytilidae
Source: RNAcentral
UCGUGAUCUUGAAAUAUGAAUCAAAUAUCGAAUGCGAUAUCUGGACUUAUAUGCCAUAAUGGCAAAAACACAUCCGAAUAAAACCGUAAUUAUAAUUGUAUAAACUAUAGUUUCCAAAUGUUGCAUGCAUUCAACAUCGGCGACCGACUUGUCAGCCAUGCUUCUCGGACUUGUACAGAUAUAUGCUUCAGGAUAAUAUUUGAUCGUCACAUUAUUAGAUGACAAUUC